AUCUCGCCCUGUUUGUUGGCAACCCAGAGGAUACUUGGUCUUAAAAACGGAAGACGUGAGCUGCUUGAACCAUGUGGAGAAGAAUCGUUUCUGGCUAAUCCCAAGUGAAUGACAAUCAAAAAUUUUCCUCACUUAUGUGAAUUUCUACACACGAUCCCACCCUCCGAGAUAUUUGCAACAUUCGGAAGAAAAACUUAUGCUUAAGCUGGAUACCACCUUAAACAGUACUUUUAAUAGUGACACAACGAUAGUACAACAAUAGCGACUCCAGGCAGAGUGCUCAUAGAAACAGAUUAGAUAAAGUAUUACUCCCACAUAGGAAAGUAGCUAUACUUGGUAUGGGUGCGGGGAAUCCAACCAGCAGUUCUUCAACACAUACAUCGGCAAUCGCUCAUCAAUCGUACAAUACAAAUUUGAACUAGAAUUCAUCGUAUGAUGGAAGAAGCACUCGUAGUCCUUUGUGUCAGAAAGUAAUAAAAAUCGUGCACCUAGAAGUAUAACACAAAAUAUACAACAACAGGGUUGAUGUUGAUAUUUCCCAUGCUUAUAAUAGGCGUGUUUUAUUUGACCACCACAAGCUAAUAGCUAAAUCAUGGACAAAUAAAACACAUUUAUCUUAUUUCACAUCUUCGCUUAAAAAUGAUUGUGUUGGCAAUGCGAGCCCGAACUCUCACCUGAUAUGUAUGUAAUUUAUUUGAAAAAAAUCGGUUGAAUUAAGAAAUCAAAUUUUCCUUUCGUUUACCACUUUUCUAUAAUGUUCUGACGUUUUAAGGAAUCUACAAUUAUUAUUUGCUCCGGGAUGGACAAAAUAAAUAUGGAUAAACUUUUUAUUUGCCAUUUUGCACAUCGAUAGAAUUUAAAAUUUUGGUUUGUUUACAUUUUAAUCUGUCAAAAUGCGGUUUCUCGCUAUUGACAGCUAUUUUUUUUUUUGGAAAAACCUAAAUAUUGUGAAUGUAAAAGAGCGAUGAACUGGCAAUGCUCUAGUUCAAGAUAAUUGUUGACUAAGUCUUCCAUACAAAAUAAGUUAAUAGCUUAAUUUGCUGGUCAAAUAAAACACGCCUAAUAUUGGUGGAUAAUCACCAAAUAGUGUAACAUGUAUAUGCCUUCAACCAGCAAGUAAUCACUACUCAGGCAACAAACACCGGCAGCAGCAGCAACAAUUAAUACAUAUUCAAAUUCAGAAUAAAAGUCAAAAUCGCACAACGCAACCGGCAAAUAACAAGGUUUAUUCUAGGAAUAGAGAUAUUUUAAUGAUUUCUAAGCAACUCUAAAUAUUUGUCUGCCAUCGAAUGAUGUACAUCAUAUUACAUCGGACUUUUGGAGUAUGAUGCCCUUGGAUCUACAAUUACACAAAUUUUACAAUGGAUAGUAUAAAUUUUUAACAUUCGCAAUAACACUAAAUUUAUUAAUUUAAAUGUAAAAUACUGUUAAAUUAGCAUCUUAUUUACAAAUGAAUGUACGAAUAUUUGUAACAAUCGUAAUAGUAGUAAAAUUUAAUUUGUAUUGUAUAACAACACAAAAAAUUAAUAGUUACAUGUUUUGAGAAAUUGUAAAUUAUAAAAAUUAAAUAAUUUAUACUUUAUAUGUAAAAUAUGUAAAUUUUAUCAAUGUAUAAAUGAUAGUCACAAAAAUGUUUGUAAAAAUUAAAGUUUACUUUGUACUGAAAUGCUAAUAUUUAAAAAUCAAUCUAUAAUAAUUAAUAAUAAUGUAAAAUGCCAUUCUAAUUCAUAAA
This is a long non-coding RNA of Zeugodacus cucurbitae (melon fly), 1732 nucleotides long. RefSeq lists it as uncharacterized. The transcript has 3 exons. The record is from RefSeq and is a predicted model, not a curated record. Lineage: Eukaryota; Metazoa; Arthropoda; Insecta; Diptera; Tephritidae.